GACGAACGCUGGCGGCGUGCUUAACACAUGCAAGUCGAACGGUAAGGCCCUUCGGGGUACACGAGUGGCGAACGGGUGAGUAACACGUGGGUGAUCUGCCCUGCACUUCGGGAUAAGCCUGGGAAACUGGGUCUAAUACCGGAUAGGACUCCGGACUGCAUGGUCUGGGGUGGAAAGCUUUUGCGGUGUGGGAUGGGCCCGCGGCCUAUCAGCUUGUUGGUGGGGUGAUGGCCUACCAAGGCGACGACGCGUAGCCGGCCUGAGGGGGUGACCGGCCACAAUCGGACUUAAUUACGGUCCAGACUCCGACGUGAGGCAGCAGUUGGGAAUAUUGCACAAUGGGCGCAAGCCUGAUGCAGCGACGCCGCGUGAGGGAUGUCGGCCUUCGGGUUGUAAACCUCUUUCAGCAUCGACGAAGCGAAAGUGACGGUAGGUACAGAAGAAGGACCGGCCAACUACGUGCCUGCCGCCGCGGUAA
Molecule: ribosomal RNA, 478 nt
Filed under: uncultured bacterium
Lineage: Bacteria
Description: partial 16S ribosomal RNA
Rfam family: Bacterial small subunit ribosomal RNA
Source: RNAcentral